Long non-coding RNA from Nylanderia fulva, 1281 nucleotides. RefSeq lists it as uncharacterized. The record is from RefSeq and is a predicted model, not a curated record. NCBI's taxonomy places the organism in Eukaryota, Metazoa, Arthropoda, Insecta, Hymenoptera, Formicidae.
AGUCACGGAGGCGCAUUUGUCGAGCGAAAUGCCCGCAGCAGAGACGACAAAGAGAGAAGCGUAACGGAGAGAAGACAGGACCAACCGGAAACGAAGCCGGUGCAGGCAGAAGAAGAAAAUGUCCGGUGAAAAAAAAGGCCGCGUCAAGGUCCUCAGGCAGAUUCGCGACGCGGUUUAAGUCAUGUCACACACCACCUGUCGCGCGACUAAGCCAAGUAAAUGCGCAUGCUCUUCGUCAUCUCUCGCGGAAAAAGCAACGACAGCUCCAUGGAAGUUUCUUCCAGCCUGUGAUUACGCUCAAUCGAUCGAGGCAAUACAGGAAGUAGCGACUGGAUGUUCUAAGCACGGCUCGCUUAUGCAACUGGACGUGAAGUUUCAAUUCGUACGUUUCCAGCCGGAGAAAUGAAUAUUUUCGAUCUCCGCUGUCGAUAAAACACCUCGUAGUUCGAUCGUGCUCACGUCCUCCCAGGAAUCUCUCUCGAUCUCAUUGUUCGUGGGCAGCAGGCCAGAAAGUGGCGCUUCCGGUUUCAGGUUGAGUUGCACGACGGUCAGACGAACGGACAGGCCUGGCUGCAUCCUGACUCGCCAGCGCCCCUGCGUGAUACUCGCGGAAAAUUGUCGUAGCAACGGGAAGUGGAUAAGUCGACGCGCGGAACCGGAAGUCGCCGUGGGAUCGCUUGAAAACACAGAGCGAAACCUGCAUGCUCCCUGGGAACCUCCGAUUAACUACACGCACGCGUAUAUUUUUCGCCUGACUCUCUUUAAUGCUGCGGAAAAUGUCGGCUUCGUAACUAUCGAGAAAAGCAUGAAGCACGGAGCAUGCCUACAAACUUCUCGGUUUCUAUAGUCUUUACUACCGUACCUUCACAAAGGAUGAGAAUAAUGAAGUUGUCGGAGACGUCAAACCUAACGAAGCACAUUAAUCAAUGACACAUCAACGGAUGCAACAUUCAGAAAAUUGGACGCUCAAGCGUACAUGUCUGGCAAGGAUAGUCGGGGAAUUAACAAUGAUACCCACACGAAUUUGAUCUACAUCCAGAAAUCGUGGGCGACGCUGACAUCAUGCUGACCAACGACUUCCUAGACUCGCUGUCCUUGAAAGAUACAGACACUUCUGCGGUUUGACAGCGUCAUGUAUUAAGUGUAUUUCGUUCCAAACAAGAGAAAACAUAAUAUUCCUAGUGCGAGAAGUAUUAUUAUUUAUGCGCGCUAAUAAUACGAUCGGUAAAUGAAUCGAAAAAAUCAGACUGAUGAAUUUUUUUACAUCAAUGAGAGACAAAG